RNAcentral lists this long non-coding RNA (1048 nucleotides) under Homo sapiens (human). RNAcentral's name for it is "HSALNT0256658". Lineage: Eukaryota; Metazoa; Chordata; Mammalia; Primates; Hominidae. The record is from RNAcentral.
UUGCCCAGGCUGGUCUUGGACUCUUGACCUCAUGUGAUCUGCCUGCCUUGGCAUCCCAAAGUGCUAGGAUUACAGGCAUGAGCCACUGUGCCCAGCCCAGGCUCUGGGAAUAUUGAGAUAAAUAAGAUGCUUCUAUCCAUUUAUUCAAGCACAUAUUGGUCACCUACUGUGUGCCUGGCACUCAUGUCACAAAGAUAAGUUCCUGAUUCGGUACACUUACUGAGCACCUGCUGUGUGCAGGGAGCUGAGCUAUGGGAUGGGAAUGGGAGUAAACAAGGUACUUUUUACUUUUUUCUUUUUUUCCUCACUGCUAGACGGUGUGGGAACUUCUCACUCAUUGGCUUCUUUCCCACACACCUGAAGAGCACUGACUGUGUGCCGGGCACUAGUGAUACAAAAGAGUGUGACAGUUGUUCAGUCUGCAUUUUCGAUCAUGGGCUACAUGCCGAGUGCUGGGGCACAGAGAUGAACAAGAUCGGUUCCUUCACUUCUUCAUGCCACAAGUGUUUAUUGAGCACCUGUGUGCCAGGCCUCACAGACUCCCAGUUGGGUUGAAGAAUGGUUGACUGAGUUUGAUUCUUCCUGUACCCUCGGUCGUCUGAGCUGUGUGCAGACAACAUCCCCCCACCACCCAAGAGGGAGGGUAGCUCUUCCGCCACCAGGGGCAAGCACAGGUCCUGGUGGCCCCACGCCACAUGUUAGCCCCCCUGGAGGGGGCGCCAGUUGGAGACGGGGGCUGGGUGUCCCUGGCCCACUCCCGGUCCCCUGUGCUUUACCUCCUUGCCCUUGUGUCUCAGGUGUGGUCCCUGCCUGCUUGAUGAAGUUGCUCUGUUCAAGCCUUUGGUGGGAUCAUGUGUUUGGGGGCUUUUAGGGGACCCAGCUGCACUGGGGCACUGCCCGUGGCCUGGGUAGGACAUUUCCCAGCAAGGGCUGGAGGAGUUGCCGUGCCUUCAGCCUGAAUCGAAUGUCAGAACCAGCCAGCGGUGCUUCACCCUCUUGGGGAUAACUUGCUUAGUUUUUUAAUAAAUGUUCCUGGUUGGUUUUCACA